GACGAACGCUGGCGGCGUGCUUAACACAUGCAAGUCGAACGGAAAGGCCCUGCUUUUGUGGGUUGCUCGAGUGGCGAACGGGUGAGUAACACACGAGUAACCUGCCCUUGACUUUGGGAUAACUUCAGGAAACUGGGGCUAAUACCGGAUAGGAGCUCCUGCUGCAUGGUGGGGGUUGGAAAGUGUCGGCGGUUGGGGAUGGACUCGCGGCUUAUCAGCUUGAUGGUGGGGUAGUGGCUUACCAAGGCUUUGAAGGGUAGCCGGCCUGAGAGGGUGACCGGCCACAUUGGGACUGAGGUACGGCCCAGACUCCUACGGGAGGCAGCAGUGGGGAACAUUGCACAAUGGGCGGAAGCCUGAUGCAGCAACGCCGCGUGCGGGAUGACGGCCUUCGGGUUGUAAACCGCUUUCGACUGUGACGAAGCGUGAGUGGCGGUAAUGGGUAAAGAAGCACCGGCUAACUACGUG
RNAcentral lists this ribosomal RNA (468 nucleotides) under uncultured bacterium. RNAcentral describes it as "partial 16S ribosomal RNA". It matches the Rfam family "Bacterial small subunit ribosomal RNA", at positions 28 to 507 of the family's 1533-position model. The record is from RNAcentral.